RNAcentral lists this unclassified non-coding RNA (910 nucleotides) under Bombus terrestris (buff-tailed bumblebee). RNAcentral describes it as "misc RNA ENSBTSG00005037189.1". Lineage: Eukaryota; Metazoa; Arthropoda; Insecta; Hymenoptera; Apidae. The record is from RNAcentral.
CUCCAGUCGGAGUUGACAUAUCCUGUUAGAUCUUCACUAAUAUUUCUGAAUCAUGGACCAAUGUUAGACAUUCCCAUUAACAAUAACAUAAGACCAAUUUGACAGAUAACCAAUGAAUCUUCUUUGGGUUGUUAUUAAAACAAAUUAAUGGCAGAAAUACAUUAAUGAUCCUAUCAGAGACUGAUGGAUGUUCAAAUCAAUUUCAGGUGAGUUGUAAUAUUUGCUUGAAUAUAUUUUUCAUCGUUCUUUUCAAAUAUUGUAGCCAUUUGGUUUGUAAAUACGAACCUUUUUCCAGUCACUGCAACUUUUGAUACCGAAAUCAAAUUUGCUUUUAAUACUGGUACAUGCAAUGUGUUUUCCAAUCAAAACUUCCACAGAUUGUUUUUUAUACAGUUAAAUAAUACUGCAGUACCUUUGAUUUUAGCUGGCUUGCCAUUGGCUGAUUUUAGCUGGCUUGUCAUUCGUUGAUUUCACGUUUUGAUUUUUGAUUGGCUGUAUGGAUUCAAAACGGCUUAUGUCAUAGCAUAUAUGUGAUGUAGCAUCAUUGCCAAUGCACCAUUCCAAUAGUGGUUCCCUGUUUAUAUUCAAUGAAACAUGAUAAUAAACAGUGAUAAUACUAUCCUGAUUAUCUUCAUACUGAAUAUUGGAAACACGUAAGCAUUGUUCAGUUUUGGAUAUUCCAGUAACCUGUGCUAGUUCAGCUUUAUGAUUAUCCCUUUUCUUCUUCAAGCUUUGAUGUGCCCUAUAUCCAUGAUUGUGGCAGUAAAAACAUUCAAUGUGUUUUACUUCAUUAGUUUUAAUAAACCCAUUUUUAUCUGAAGAUUUUCUAUUUUUGUCAUACCUCGUGUGUUUAUUUGGAUCUUCCUGUUGUUAUUUUUACAUUCAGAGAUAGGAUCACAAUAGUUAUUAG